GUCCCGGAGUAAAGAGGUAUUCAGUCGCCAAGACCAAGGAGAUGCCACACACAAUUUAUCAAGUGUUAAUGUAAUCUCUGCAUGGUCAGACCACGUUAUAGAUCAGAUGGUGGAGUCGGCAACUCUAGCUACAGUCAGAGGAUUCACCAAGAACAGUCCUAUCCUCGAAUAGGUGUCGUGAGGGUUUGAAUAAAAUGUAUAGUCAGUAACGUCGGGGUGGUGGGUUCUCCAAAUAUCAAUAAGGCCUGUAUGUUGCAUAAAGGUGUGCAAUAGUUUAUCUUGUCCGCCCCGUCUAUGGGACCGUGGAAGUCCAUGGCAAGGUCCCCUAUCCGUCGCUUGACAUGGUGCCGCAUUAAAGUCCCCCCCACUAUGACCAUGCCGUUUGGCAGUGUGUUGAUCACGUGAGUUAAAUCUAACCAGAAAUCUUUAGUUGAGUC
Non-coding RNA from Pelobates cultripes (western spadefoot toad), 437 nucleotides. Lineage: Eukaryota; Metazoa; Chordata; Amphibia; Anura; Pelobatidae. The record is from the annotation of a GenBank genome assembly.